RNAcentral lists this ribosomal RNA (231 nucleotides) under uncultured bacterium. RNAcentral's name for it is "partial 16S ribosomal RNA". It matches the Rfam family "Bacterial small subunit ribosomal RNA", at positions 103 to 334 of the family's 1533-position model. The record is from RNAcentral.
CCGGGUGAGUAACACGUAUCCAACCUGCCGUCUACUCUUGGACAGCCUUCUGAAGGAAGAUUAAUACAAGAUGGCAUCAUGAGUCCACAUGUUCACAUGAUUAAAGGUAUUCCGGUAGACGAUGGGGAUGCGUUCCAUUAGAUAGUAGGCGGGGUAACGGCCCACCUAGUCUUCGAUGGAUAGGGGUUCUGAGAGGAAGGUCCCCCACAUUGGAACUGAGACACGGACCAG